GCUUAUACUCGACCGUCAGCGGCACGUGCGAUCGCCCGCGAGGGCGGUCACGAAGCCCUGACGAGUAGGAGGGUCGCGGCGGUGAGCGCAGAAGGGCUGGCCGCGAGGCCGUCUGGAGCCGCCGUCGGUGCAGAUCUUGGUGGUAGUAGCAAAUACUCCAGCGAGGCCCUGGAGGACUGACGUGGAGAAGGGUUUCGUGUGAACAGCCGUUGCACACGAGUCAGUCGAUCCUAAGCCCUAGGCGAAAGCCGAUGUCGAUGCGGUGUAGUUUUUACCAAAUAUAUUUUUACCAAGUAAUUAUAUUCGAGAGAGCGAGAACACACCCGUCGGGCGAAAGGGAAUCCGGUUCCUAUUCCGGAACCUGGCAGCGGAACCGUCAAUAAGUCGGGC
This 390-nucleotide ribosomal RNA is filed under the name Dendroacalles poneli. RNAcentral's name for it is "eukaryotic LSU rRNA". It matches the Rfam family "Eukaryotic large subunit ribosomal RNA", at positions 1340 to 1663 of the family's 3401-position model. Lineage: Eukaryota; Metazoa; Arthropoda; Insecta; Coleoptera; Curculionidae. The record is from RNAcentral.